RNAcentral lists this unclassified non-coding RNA (38 nucleotides) under Vibrio anguillarum. The record is from RNAcentral. Lineage: Bacteria; Pseudomonadati; Pseudomonadota; Gammaproteobacteria; Vibrionales; Vibrionaceae.
AAUAGUGUUUUUAAAAAUGGUUUUCAUUAGAAAAUCGU